CUGCUGCCUUCCGUAGGAGUCUGGGCCGCGUCUCAGUCCCAAUGUGGCCGUCCACCCUCUCAGGCCGGCUACUGAUCGUCGCCUUGGUGGGCCUUUACCCCGCCAACCAGCUAAUCAGACGCGGGUCCAUCCCAUACCACCUUGGUUUUCAAACAAAAAGCAUGCGCUUUCUGUUGUUAUGCGGUAUUAGCACCUAUUUCUAAGUGUUAUCCCCCUGUAUGGGCCAGGUUACCCACGCGUUACUCACCCGUCCGCCACUAAGCCUUUCCCUUUUCCG
RNAcentral lists this ribosomal RNA (277 nucleotides) under uncultured bacterium. Its description in RNAcentral is "partial 16S ribosomal RNA". The record is from RNAcentral.